This 1220-nucleotide long non-coding RNA is filed under the name Marmota monax (woodchuck). The record is from RNAcentral. Lineage: Eukaryota; Metazoa; Chordata; Mammalia; Rodentia; Sciuridae.
GUGGAAGUUUACACUUAAAACAGUACCAUUAAAAGUGUGAAACUCUUAGGGAUAAUUUAACUACAGUCAAAACCUGUGCACUAGAAACUACAAAAUAUUGUUGAAAGAAAUUAAAAUGCAAAGAAAAUGAAGAAAUAUUCCGUGGAUCAGAAAACUAAAUAUCAUUAAGAUAUAUUCUACCCCAAAUUUAUCUACUGACUCAAUACAAUUCCAGUCAAAAUCUGAAGCCAAAUAUUUGUAGAAACCGAUAGGCUGAUUCUGCAUUUAUGUGGGAAUCAAAAGACUUCAAGUAGACAAAACAAUUUUGAAAAAAACAAACAUGGAGGAUUUACACUACCUGGUUUAUAGUGUUAUUUUUAUAAAGCUUCAGUAGUUAAACAGCGUUGAAUUGAGCUUGAGAACAGAUGUUGAUCAAAAAACAAUUAAAAGAGUUAAGACCCACACACACAGCCUCAGUUGCGUUUGCCAGAGGUUCCAUGAUGAGAUGAUGAAGUGAUUGUCCCAAAGUGGUACUGAUAGUAGAAAUUCAGGUAAACGAAUGUGAUCUUCAUACCACAUACAAAUUUGAUUCAAAAUGGGUUAUAUGUUUAAAUAUAAGAGCUAAGUUUAUACAACUUCAAAAAGAAAAUGAGUUAUUUGUGAUUUUAGGUUAGGCAAUGAUUUCCAGAUAAAAAGCAUGAAUUGCAGAAUGAAAGAAUUGAUGCAUUGGACUUUAUCAAAAUUUAACCUUUUUCUCUUCAAAAGAUCUUGCUAAGAAAAUAAAAUCUCAGAAUUGGAAAAAAUAUUUACAAAACAUGCAUAUGUAUAUACCAAAGAGAGGUUAAAAUAUAGGUACACACACACAAAAAAAAAGAAAAAAAAAAACUAUAUAUAAAUGUUCAGAGAAACCUAAUAGCCAAAAGAGUGGAAAAAGCCUAAUGUCCAAUCAAAUGAUGAAUAAACAAAAUGUGGUAAAUAUACAAUAUAGAAUAAUAUUCAGCAUUAAAAAUAAUGAAAUGCUGAUAUAAGGUAUGACAUAAUGAACCCUGAAACAAUUAUGCUAAGUGAAAGAAAUUAGUCACCAGACUAUAUAUUUUGAUUCCAUUUAUAUAAAAUGUCCAAAAUAUGCAAAUUUUUAUAGAAAUGAAAGAGAUUCUGGUUGCCUAUGACAGGCAGCAAGGGAGAGAAUGGAGAAUAACUGCUAAUGGGUAUGUUUCUUUUAAGGGUAUGAAAAUGUUGUA